Molecule: long non-coding RNA, 510 nt
Filed under: Gopherus agassizii (Agassiz's desert tortoise)
Lineage: Eukaryota; Metazoa; Chordata; Testudines; Testudinidae
Description: lncRNA (ENSGAGG00000012566.1)
Source: RNAcentral
CCAGAAACUAUGUCCUUGUCUUGAGAGCUGUUACUGGUUACACCCAUGACCUGAAGAAAAGUUGUCCAUGGACCCUCCCAGCGCUGUGCCCUACGCCCGCCUGGAGAUCCCCGACCUCGACUCCGUGCCCUCCUACAAGUACUGGUCCAUCUUCAACAUCCUGUGCUGCUGCCUGCCCCUGGGGCUGGUCGCUAUCUUCUACUCGGGACAGUGCUGUUUCUGGGGCUGAUCCAGAGCAUUGCUGAAGACCAGCAUCUCCCUGACUUCAAUAGGAGCCACAGGUCCUCAGCACUCUUGGAAACAAGCAGAGAGAUUGUGGAGGAGUGCCUAGCACGCAGAGACAUCACAGGAGCAAAGGCAGCCUCCAACACUGCAAGAACCAUCAACAUCCUCGCCGUGGUGAUCGGGCUGGCAUGCAUUAGUGUGACCAUAUUCUUUAUGAUCCAGAGAUUUGAGCUGCUCCAAGCAGCACAACCCACCCAGUUUCCCUUACAUUAUAAUUUCGGCUGA